GGUUCUAUGGUCUAGUGGUCAGGACAUUGGUCUCUGAUUCCAGUAACCCCGAGUUCAAAUCUCGGUAGAACCU
Molecule: non-coding RNA, 73 nt
Organism: Papaver somniferum (opium poppy)
Lineage: Eukaryota; Viridiplantae; Streptophyta; Magnoliopsida; Ranunculales; Papaveraceae
Source: the annotation of a RefSeq genome assembly